Alligator sinensis (Chinese alligator) is the source of this 804-nucleotide long non-coding RNA. RefSeq lists it as uncharacterized. NCBI's taxonomy places the organism in Eukaryota, Metazoa, Chordata, Crocodylia, Alligatoridae. The transcript has 3 exons. The record is from RefSeq and is a predicted model, not a curated record.
CAAAAUUGAAUGGAAAAUUACCAGGCAAGAGAUUAAGACAAAAACUGGUGCAGGAGCCAGAUACUAGGAGAGGGGAAAGGACAGACUCGAUGAGGAACUUGAGAGCCUUGGAAACAUCACCCUCACCGUGACAACUUAACCGUGCUGAGGAAGACAGGCAGUAAAAGCUGACAUUCCAAAAGGAAAUUAGGUGGGCAAGGAUCCAUGGUGCAGGUGGUGGAAUGAGCAUAUACCCGGCUCUUACUUGAACCAGUGACCUAGAAGGAGAUGCUCCAAGCCAACUAAAGCUUCAAACCAUAUUAUCAUUCUUGUACUAAUAUCUUUGUGGAUUUAUUAGUUUCAGAGCAUUUCAUUGUUAUUUGUUCACUACCUGAGGCUUUUUGAACUCAUUAUAGCUGCUGUUAUUAUAUAUUUCUGUACAAGAAAUGCAUAUCUGUCUCUGGUGUUCUUGCAGUAUUUUCCAUAAUAUUUCCCUGUAUCCUAUAUACUAUACUUUGUGUUAGCGAUGCAUGAUAUAACAGUAAGAUGUAAACCUUAUUAUAAUUCAUUUUUAUGAAUAUCAAUUUCUGUAUUUGAAAGUAUACAAAGAAUACUAAUCACUCAUAAAAACCAUGUAUUGCAUGCCUUUAGUCUCUUUGUCACAAAAAGACAUCUUUAUUUGCAUAUGUAUCUUCCUUCGUUGCUGUCUUCACAAUGGGAAGCUCAAACACUAUGAUUACUAAGGACGUCUCCUGUCCCACCAGAGGCUUUGGUAAAAUUGCUUUUUCCAAUUUUAUUUUUAUUUUGGGGAAAUUGGCCUUCCCU